ACUCAAAUGAAUAGACGGGGACCCGCACAAGCGGUGGAUUAUGUGGAUUAAUUCGAUGCAACGCGAAAAACCUUACCUACCCUUGACAUGUAGCGAACCCGGUGGAGACAUCGGGGUGCCCGAAAGGGAACGCUAACACAGGUGCUGCAUGGCUGUCGUCAGCUCGUGUCGUGAGAUGUUGGGUUAAGUCCCGCAACGAGCGCAACCCUUGCCAUUAGUUGCGACAUUUAGUUGAGCACUCUAAUGGGACUGCCGGUGACAAACCGGAGGAAGGUGGGGAUGACGUCAAGUCCUCAUGGCCCUUAUGGGUAGGGCCUCACACGUAAUACAAUGGCGCAUACAGAGGGCUGCGAAGGAGCGAUCCGGAGCCAAUCCCUAUAAAGUGCGUCGUAGUCCGGAUCGGAGUCUGCAACUCGACUCCGUGAAGUCGGAAUCGCUAGUAAUCGCGGAUCAGCAUGUCGCGGUGAAUACGUUCCCGGGUCUUGCACACACCGCCCGU
RNAcentral lists this ribosomal RNA (499 nucleotides) under uncultured bacterium. RNAcentral describes it as "partial 16S ribosomal RNA". It matches the Rfam family "Bacterial small subunit ribosomal RNA", at positions 899 to 1397 of the family's 1533-position model. The record is from RNAcentral.